GGGUCCCUUCAGCUUGGUCUCCAGCCCCCCAAAGAAGCCCUUCACGUUCUCCGUGUUCUUCAGCAGCCGCUCGGCAAUGUCCUUCUUCUCUGCCAGCCAGCUGUUGGCGGACUUCAGGGCGGCUGGACAAGGAAGGGGCUGCUCUUCCCUCUGAGGACGGUCCCUAUGCAACUACCAGGGAGUCGGCCAAGAACUAGGAGAGAGGAAGGAGACAGCAGGAGUCACCCCCAUAGAACCAGAAAGCUGUGCAGGGUGCGGUGGCCACGCCUGUAACCCCAGAGGCUGAGGCAGGAGGAUCACAAGUUCAAGACCAGCCUCAGCGACUUAGUGAGGCCCUAAGCAACUACCAGACCCUGUCUCAAAAUAAAAAUGAUAAAGGCUG
Marmota monax (woodchuck) is the source of this 382-nucleotide long non-coding RNA. RefSeq lists it as uncharacterized. The transcript has 2 exons. The record is from RefSeq and is a predicted model, not a curated record. NCBI's taxonomy places the organism in Eukaryota, Metazoa, Chordata, Mammalia, Rodentia, Sciuridae.